AUGAUGCCCAGCUUGCUGGGNUGAUUAGUGGCGAACGGGUGAGUAACACGUGAGUAACCUGCCCCUGACUUUGGGAUAACUCCGGGAAACCGGGGCUAAUACCGGAUAUGAGCCGUCCUCGCAUGGGGGUGGUUGGAAAGUUUUUCGGUCAGGGAUGGGCUCGCGGCCUAUCAGCUUGUUGGUGGGGUGAUGGCCUACCAAGGCGACGACNGGUAGCCGGCCUGAGAGGGCGACCGGCCACACUGGGACUGANACACGGCCCANACUCCUACGGGAGGCAGCANUGGGGAAUAUUGCACAAUGGGCGCAAGCCUGAUGCAGCGACGCCGCGUGAGGGAUGAAGGCCUUCGGGUUGUAAACCUCUUUCAGCAGGGAAGAAGCGCAAGUGACGGUACCUGCAGAAGAAGCGCCGGCUAACUACGUGCCAGCAGCCGCGGUAAUACGUAGGGCGCAAGCGUUGUCCGGAAUUAUUGGGCGUAAAGAGCUCGUAGGCGGUUUGUCGCGUCUGGUGUGAAAACUCGAGGCUCAACCUCGAGCUUGCAUCGGGUACGGGCAGACUAGAGUGCGGUAGGGGAGACUGGAAUUCCUGGUGUAGCGGUGGAAUGCGCAGAUAUCAGGAGGAACACCGAUGGCGAAGGCAGGUCUCUGGGCCGCAACUGACGCUGAGGAGCGAAAGCAUGGGGAGCGAACAGGAUUAGAUACCCUGGUAGUCCAUGCCGUAAACGUUGGGCACUAGGUGUGGGGCUCAUUCCACGAGUUCCGUGCCGCAGCAAACGCAUUAAGUGCCCCGCCUGGGGAGUACGGCCGCAAGGCUAAAACUCAAAGGAAUUGACGGGGGCCCGCACAAGCGGCGGAGCAUGCGGAUUAAUUCGAUGCAACGCGAAGAACCUUACCAAGGCUUGACAUGCACGAGAAGCCACCAGAGAUGGUGGUCUC
Molecule: ribosomal RNA, 936 nt
Filed under: Cellulosimicrobium sp.
Lineage: Bacteria; Bacillati; Actinomycetota; Actinomycetes; Micrococcales; Promicromonosporaceae
Description: bacterial SSU rRNA
Rfam family: Bacterial small subunit ribosomal RNA
Source: RNAcentral